AAAAAGGGUGGUAAUGCCGGAUGCUCCGGUUGGAUGCAUGUCCUUCCGGGAAAGAUUCUAUCGGUAUGGGAUGGGGUCGCGUCCUAUCAGCUUGAUGGCGGGGUAACGGCCCACCAUGGCUUCGACGGGUAGCCGGCCUGAGAGGGCGACCGGCCACAUUGGGACUGAGAUACGGCCCAGACUCCUACGGGAGGCAGCAGUGGGGAAUAUUGCACAAUGGGCGCAAGCCUGAUGCAGCGACGCCGCGUGCGGGAUGGAGGCCUUCGGGUUGUAAACCGCUUUUGAUCGGGAGCAAGCCCUUCGGGGUGAGUGUACCUUUCGAAUAAGCACCGGCUAACUACGUGCCAGCAGCCGCGGUAAUACGUAGGGUGCAAGCGUUAUCCGGAAUUAUUGGGCGUAAAGGGCUCGUAGGCGGUUCGUCGCGUCCGGUGUGAAAGCCCAUCGCUUAACGGUGGGUCUGCGCCGGGUACGGGCGGGCUGGAGUGCGGUAGGGGAGACUGGAAUUCCCGGUGUAACGGUGGAAUGUGUAGAUAUCGGAAAAAGAACACC
Molecule: ribosomal RNA, 549 nt
Filed under: Bifidobacterium dentium
Lineage: Bacteria; Bacillati; Actinomycetota; Actinomycetes; Bifidobacteriales; Bifidobacteriaceae
Description: bacterial SSU rRNA
Rfam family: Bacterial small subunit ribosomal RNA
Source: RNAcentral